UACGGAGGGUGCAAGCGUUAUCCGGAUUUACUGGGUUUAAAGGGUGCGUAGGUGGGUAGGUAAGUCAGUGGUGAAAUCUUCGAGCUUAACUCGGAAACUGCCAUUGAUACUAUUUAUCUUGAAUACUUUGGAGGUAAGCGGAAUAUGUCAUGUAGCGGUGAAAUGCUUAGAUAUGACAUAGAACACCAAUUGCGCAGGCAGCUUACUACACAGUAAUUGACACUGAGGCACGAAAGCGUGGGGAUCAAACAGG
RNAcentral lists this ribosomal RNA (253 nucleotides) under uncultured bacterium. RNAcentral's name for it is "partial 16S ribosomal RNA". It matches the Rfam family "Bacterial small subunit ribosomal RNA", at positions 524 to 776 of the family's 1533-position model. The record is from RNAcentral.